Molecule: non-coding RNA, 46 nt
Organism: Schistosoma rodhaini
Lineage: Eukaryota; Metazoa; Platyhelminthes; Trematoda; Strigeidida; Schistosomatidae
Source: Rfam
GUAUUUAUGAAGAGUCCCACAAUAGGACGAAACGGCUGUCCAGUGU